RNAcentral lists this long non-coding RNA (358 nucleotides) under Musa acuminata (dwarf banana). Its description in RNAcentral is "long non-coding RNA (MACU_LNC005208)". The record is from RNAcentral. Lineage: Eukaryota; Viridiplantae; Streptophyta; Magnoliopsida; Zingiberales; Musaceae.
GAGGAAGAGGCCAAAGAAGAGGAAGGCAACCAAGGAUGAAUCAAAAACUUCCAAAGGUGAAACGACAAAUUGGGCUUUGACGAGCUUCGACUACAAGGUAAGUAACUCAACUCUCUUGAAUUAUUUUGAAAUUACAUAAUGUUAGGAUCGGAGCGGCACUAAGAGGGGGGGUGAAUUAGUGCAGCGGAUUAAAACGUUGGUUUUGACAAAUCUUUCGUACGAUAAAAAUCGAACUUGGAAGUGCUUAACUUGAAAGCGUAUUUGUAAAGUUGUGCAGCAAAGGUAAUAAGGAAAUAAAGCAUGUAAGAAGGUUUGUAGUAAUGUAAAUAGCAAUAAUGAAAUGCAAACUAGAGAUCAC